AAGGAUCAUUAUCGAGUUUUGAACGGGUUGUAGCUGGCCUCUCACGAGGCAUGUGCACGCCUGGCUCAUCCACUCUUAACCUCUGUGCACUUGAUGUAAGAGAAAAAAUGGUGGAAGCUUCCAGGAUCGCGCGAGAGGUCUUCGGUUGAACAAGCCGUUUUUCUUUCUUAUGUUUUACUACAAACGCCUCAGUUAUAGAAUGUCAACUGUGUAUAACACAUUUAUAUACAACUUUCAGCAACGGAUCUCUUGGCUCUCGCAUCGAUGAAGAACGCAGCGAAACGCGAUAAGUAAUGUGAAUUGCAGAAUUCAGUGAAUCAUCGAAUCUUUGAACGCACCUUGCACUCCUUGGUAUUCCGAGGAGUAUGCCUGUUUGAGUCUCAUGGUAUUCUCAACCCCUAAAUUUUUGUAAUGAAGGUUUAGCGGGCUUGGACUUGGAGGUUGUGUCGGCCCUUGUCGGUCGACUCCUCUGAAAUGCAUUAGCGUGAAUCUUACGGAUCGCCUUCAGUGUGAUAAUUAUCUGCGCUGUGGUGUUGAAGUAUUUAUGGUGUUCAUGCUUCGAACUGUCUCCUUGCCGAGACAAUCAUUUGACAAUCUGAGCUCAAAUCAGGUAGGACUACCCGCUGAACUUAA
Molecule: ribosomal RNA, 633 nt
Filed under: Irpex lacteus
Lineage: Eukaryota; Fungi; Basidiomycota; Agaricomycetes; Polyporales; Irpicaceae
Description: eukaryotic LSU rRNA
Rfam family: 5.8S ribosomal RNA (bases 230-383)
Source: RNAcentral